UGCAGGUUGGUUUAGUUAAGUCAGAUGUAGAAACGGCCCGGGGCUACCAACCGUACGGUAAUUGCUAUUUAGAAACGUGGACAAACUAGAGUACUGUAGAGGGGGUAGAAUUUCAGGUGUAGCGGUGAAAUGCGUAGAGAUCUGAAGGAAUACCGGUGGCGAAGGCGGCCCCCUGGACAGAUACUGACACUCAGAUGCGAAAGCGUGGGGAGCAAACAGGAUUAGAUACCCUGGUAG
RNAcentral lists this ribosomal RNA (237 nucleotides) under uncultured bacterium. RNAcentral's name for it is "partial 16S ribosomal RNA". It matches the Rfam family "Bacterial small subunit ribosomal RNA", at positions 570 to 793 of the family's 1533-position model. The record is from RNAcentral.